This 621-nucleotide ribosomal RNA is filed under the name bacterium SL2.28. Its description in RNAcentral is "bacterial SSU rRNA". It matches the Rfam family "Bacterial small subunit ribosomal RNA", at positions 57 to 677 of the family's 1533-position model. The record is from RNAcentral.
GCAGUCGAACGGGAUUUAAUCUUUCGGGAUUAAUGAGAGUGGCGCACGGGUGCGUAACGCGUAUGCAACCUACCUUAUACUGAGGGAUAGCCCGGGGAAACUCGGAUUAAUACCUCAUGGUAAUAUGAAUUGGCAUCGGUUUAUAUUUAAAGAUUUAUUGGUAUAAGAUGGGCAUGCGUAGGAUUAGCUAGUUGGUAGGGUAACGGCCUACCAAGGCUACGAUCCUUAGGGGUUCUGAGAGGAAGGUCCCCCACACUGGUACUGAGAUACGGACCAGACUCCUACGGGAGGCAGCAGUAGGGAAUAUUGGGCAAUGGACGGAAGUCUGACCCAGCCAUGCCGCGUGCAGGAAGAAGGCGUUAUGCGUUGUAAACUGCUUUUAUACGGGAAGAAAAGGCCCAUGCGUGGGACAUUGCCGGUACCGUAUGAAUAAGCACCGGCUAACUCCGUGCCAGCAGCCGCGGUAAUACGGAGGGUGCAAGCGUUGUCCGGAUUUAUUGGGUUUAAAGGGUGCGUAGGCGGCUAUUUAAGUCAGUGGUGAAAGUUUUGGGCUCAACCCAGGAAUUGCCAUUGAUACUGGCUAGCUUGAGUGUUGAUGGGGUACAUGGGAUUUAUGGUGUA